Danio rerio (zebrafish) is the source of this 301-nucleotide non-coding RNA. The record is from Ensembl. NCBI's taxonomy places the organism in Eukaryota, Metazoa, Chordata, Actinopteri, Cypriniformes, Danionidae.
AUGGAAAUAGAAAUGCAGCAGGGAGUAGUCACACUCCACACGCGCUGGCAGAAAGAAUUCCUGGUGACAUUUGUUGUGUGAAGAUUACUCACUGGCCCGUAGCCUGGCGUAGCACAACAGUGAUGGCUUUAAAGACAUGGAGUUGGCGCUGUCCCAGCCUCGACACCUCACCCACAAACUGUGCCUCCUGUCAACCCCCCCACGGGCACCUAUUGUGGUGAAUCAGUGACCGUACCGUUCCUUCUUUCUGCUCUUCACCAACAAAUGAUGAACUAAGUGGGAAAAAAGACAGAAUGGAAUG